CUGAUGAUUAAGACGUUAGAAACUUUUCAUAUAUCUGUUGGACAUCUGUAUGCCCUCUUUGGACAAGUGUAUAUUAAGGUCAUUUGCCCACUUUGUAAUUGGGUUGUUGGACUUCCAGG
This is a long non-coding RNA of Phyllostomus discolor (pale spear-nosed bat), 119 nucleotides long. RefSeq lists it as uncharacterized. The record is from RefSeq and is a predicted model, not a curated record. NCBI's taxonomy places the organism in Eukaryota, Metazoa, Chordata, Mammalia, Chiroptera, Phyllostomidae. The transcript is spliced from 3 exons.